GAUGAACGCUGGCGGCGUGCUUAACACAUGCAAGUCGAACGGAAAGGCCCAAGCUUGCUUGGGUACUCGAGUGGCGAACGGGUGAGUAACACGUGGGUGAUCUGCCCUGCACUUCGGGAUAAGCCUGGGAAACUGGGUCUAAUACCGGAUAGGACCACAUUUUGGAUGGUGUGGUGGAAAGUUUUUCGGUGUGGGAUGAGCUCGCGGCCUAUCAGCUUGUUGGUGGGGUAAUGGCCUACCAAGGCGUCGACGGGUAGCCGGCCUGAGAGGGUGUACGGCCACAUUGGGACUGAGAUACGGCCCAGACUCCUACGGGAGGCAGCAGUGGGGAAUAUUGCACAAUGGGCGCAAGCCUGAUGCAGCGACGCCGCGUGGGGGAUGACGGCCUUCGGGUUGUAAACGCCUUUCGCUAGGGACGAAGCGUUUUUGUGACGGUACCUGGAGAAGAAGCACCGGCUAACUACGU
This 466-nucleotide ribosomal RNA is filed under the name uncultured bacterium. RNAcentral's name for it is "partial 16S ribosomal RNA". It matches the Rfam family "Bacterial small subunit ribosomal RNA", at positions 28 to 506 of the family's 1533-position model. The record is from RNAcentral.